GAUGAAGAACGUAGCGAAAUGCGAUAAGUAAUGUGAAUUGCAGAAUUCAGUGAAUCAUCGAAUCUUUGAACGCACAUUGUGCCCGCCAGUAUUCUGGCGGGCAUGCCUGUUCGAGCGUCAUUUCAACCCUCAGGCCCCCAGUGCCUGGCGUUGGGGAUCGGCGUGGGCGGCGACGGCUCUCCGGAGCCCGAACCAAUGCCUGCCGGCCCCGAAAUUCAGUGGCGGUCUCGCUGUAGUCCCCCUCUGCGUAGUAGCACAACUCGCAUUGGAGCUCGGCGGUGGCCAUGCCGUAAAACACCCCACUUCUGAAAGUUGACCUCGGAUCAGGUAGGAAUACCCGCUGAACUUAAGCAUAUCAAUAAGCGGAGGA
RNAcentral lists this unclassified non-coding RNA (370 nucleotides) under soil metagenome. Its description in RNAcentral is "partial contains 5.8S ribosomal RNA, internal transcribed spacer 2, and large subunit ribosomal RNA". The stretch from base 1 to 120 matches the Rfam family "5.8S ribosomal RNA", at positions 35 to 154 of the family's 154-position model. The record is from RNAcentral.